Non-coding RNA from Erinaceus europaeus (western European hedgehog), 370 nucleotides. NCBI's taxonomy places the organism in Eukaryota, Metazoa, Chordata, Mammalia, Eulipotyphla, Erinaceidae. The record is from Rfam.
GGAUGUGAGGGCGAUCUGGCUGCGACAUCUGUCACCCUAUUGAUCGCCAGGGUUGAUUCGGUUGAUCUGGCUGGCUAGGCGGGUGUCCCCUUCCUCCCUCACCACUCCAUGUGUGUGUGUGUCCUUCUCGAAGCUGCGCCCUCGGUCAAAGAGGAUGGCCUUCUCCAAAUAGAGUCGGACUCAUCUUCAGUCGAGGGUGUAUGAGUAGCUGCGAUCUCCUGCUAGAACCUCCAAACAAGAAAUAGGGCAGUAACACAGCGGGUUAAGCGCAUGUGGCACAAAGCACAAGGACCAGCUCAAGGAUCCCAGUUUGAGCCCCCAGCUCCCCACCUGCAGGGGAGUUGCUUCACAAGCGGUGAAGCAGGUCUGC